This 1031-nucleotide long non-coding RNA is filed under the name Cotesia glomerata. RNAcentral describes it as "uncharacterized LOC123270953". The record is from RNAcentral. Lineage: Eukaryota; Metazoa; Arthropoda; Insecta; Hymenoptera; Braconidae.
GUUCAAAAAGUUUCUUUUCGUUUAUUUAUUUAUGAGGUACGCUUACAUCUAUAUAAUAAUUGAAAAAUCACACAGGAUUCAUGACUAUGAAAGUUAACUAUUAUGAAAAUAUAAUUGUAAUAUUACAAUCAUAUGAUUAAUUAUUCAUAGAUCAUCAUUGUUUGAGUUUAAUUCACCGCCAAAUAAUACUUUAUCAAAGUAGAACUCAAAGUUAUUCAUGAUUCAUUACGUGGUAAUUUUGAAGAAUUAGUACUGAAUAAAAGAUUAAAACAAAUUUUAAUUAAUCAUAAAUUUAAUACUGAAAUUGGAGUGAAUAGUAUCUUUUAUUUUUCAGGUAUGAAAUAAAUGUUGUUUCUUACGCACUUGAUGAAAAGAAUGAAGUUUCAGCAUCUUAUCUUAUCAGUUUAUUGUUAUGUUAAUAAGUCAUUAUUUUUUUUUAUUUUAAAAUUUCUAUUAAUUUUUUAUUGGUCGAUAUUAAUUAGAGGAAAAAAGAUUCUUGAAUUCAUUUCUAUGGAUCAAUAUUUUUGACCCAGUUUUAAAAAUGAUUGUUUGUUAUCAUGUAAAGCACCUUGUUUUCAUAAUUUUUCGCACUAAAGAAAAUAUUGCAAGAAAAAGUUGAUUUUAAUCUAUUAUAGUUUUCAAUGCAUAAAUUACGUAAAAUAUGUGCAGCUAGUAGAGAUAUAGUGAUUGAUCCAGAGCAAAUGAUUCCCGAGCCAACUAAGGAAAAGAAGAAAUUAAAUUGACUAUUCUAUUGACUAGUAAAGCACAGACAAUCAUUUGAGUACAGAUAUUACCGCCGCUAAUAACUUUUUUCAAGACUUAAUUUGGGAUACAGUUAUGCCUUUUUUCUCCAAACUGGGGCUAGAACUGAAAAUUAAAGACUACGCACAAACAUAAAAAUAUAUUGACCACAGCAGAUUUUGAUGUAAGCUUCAAUGUUACGCCUUCGAUUAAUUCAGGAGCUUUAAUUGAUUACCAAGUUAUUUAUUUAAUGAAUAUACAACUAUUUUUAAUGAGUAUACAACUAUUUU